CCUACGGGAGGCAGCAGUGAGGAAUAUUGGUCAAUGGACGCAAGUCUGAACCAGCCAUGCCGCGUGCAGGAAGACGGCUCUAUGAGUUGUAAACUGCUUUUGUACGAGGGUAAACGCAGAUACGCGUAUCUGUCUGAAAGUAUCGUACGAAUAAGGAUCGGCUAACUCCGUGCCAGCAGCCGCGGUAAUACGGAGGAUUCAAGCGUUAUCCGGAUUUAUUGGGUUUAAAGGGUGCGUAGGCGGUCGGAUAAGUUAGAGGUGAAAUCCCGAGGCUCAACUUUGGAAUUGCCUUUGAUACUGGUCGGCUUGAGUGUAGUUGAGGUAGGCGGAAUGCAUGGUGUAGCGGUGAAAUGCUUAGAGAUCAUACAGAACACCGAUUGCGAAGGCAGCUUACCGGCGCCCGACUGACGCUGAGGCACGAAAGCGUGGGGAUCGAACAGGAUUAGAUACCCUUGUAGUC
This 460-nucleotide ribosomal RNA is filed under the name uncultured bacterium. Its description in RNAcentral is "partial 16S ribosomal RNA". It matches the Rfam family "Bacterial small subunit ribosomal RNA", at positions 338 to 795 of the family's 1533-position model. The record is from RNAcentral.